This is a long non-coding RNA of Panicum virgatum (switchgrass), 539 nucleotides long. RefSeq lists it as uncharacterized. The record is from RefSeq and is a predicted model, not a curated record. Lineage: Eukaryota; Viridiplantae; Streptophyta; Magnoliopsida; Poales; Poaceae. The transcript has 3 exons.
AAGAGAUUCGCAGCCUCUAGCCCACGGUUCAUUGCACGGCCUUCAACUCCGGCAAUGUGGUUGCCUCGGCGCUGACAUUUGGCUCUGAUUUUGGGGCAUGGCCUUGGGUUCCAUCGCUCGCACACAGAAUCUCUAGGUCAGGCCAUCAACAGCCAAGUCAAGAGCUAAGUAUGGUUACACGUAUUGCUCAAUCCUUGCAAAUUUCUCAAUCCUAGCAAAGCCUUGGUUUCCCUCAAGACUUCUCGAACAUGACAGCUUGGUCCUGCCUGAAGGACUCACAUUUUAGGCAGAAUAAACAGAAGAAAGAUGAACACUGCAUGGUAGCUUCGAUUAUCGCGGCUUUGGAACCUUCUAAACGUAGGAGGGGUGGUUCGGUUCCAGGACAUAAAUUUAAGCGUCGCAAUAGAGAAGCAGCUUUUGCACAAAUCAUGAUGGAUUACUUUGUUGAUAAUCCUUUGUACAGCGAAGAGGACUUUCGGCGACGAUUUAGAAUGAGGAAGUCCUUAUUCCUUGACAUGGUCCGCAAGAUUACCCAGAAG